GAAAUGCGAUAAGUAGUGUGAAUUGCAUUUAGUGAAUCAUCGAAUCUUUGAACGCACCCUGCACUCACUGGUAUUCCGGUGAGUACGCCUGUUUCAGUAUCAUUGAAAACACACAAUCAAAACAUUUUCUUUGGUUUGAUUGGCUUUGGGUCUAUCAAAAAGUUUGGCUUGUUUCUUACAAGCCAAGCGGCCUGAAAUAUAUUGUCUGGCUAAUUGCAUCGUUGAUGAUCGCUAUUAGACUUUGGCUUUUUUAAAUGAACUGGAGGUUGAUUAACCAGUUUUAGCUUUAGUCAAAUGGUCAUUGUAAAAAAAAUCUCGAUCUUGGCUAGGUGUUUAUAGCCGAAAAUUUUUUUUUGGCUAUAACCGAAACCAAUAUAAUCACAUUUAGUUAUCGAUCUGAAAUCAGGUGGGACUACCCGCUGAACUUAAGC
This 431-nucleotide unclassified non-coding RNA is filed under the name plant metagenome. Its description in RNAcentral is "partial contains 5.8S ribosomal RNA, internal transcribed spacer 2, and large subunit ribosomal RNA". The stretch from base 1 to 102 matches the Rfam family "5.8S ribosomal RNA", at positions 50 to 154 of the family's 154-position model. The record is from RNAcentral.